UAAGUGGAAGAAAAUGAAAUAACUCAUACAACACUGUCCGAUGUUAGGGGAGGCAUGAGCGCUCACAAACAUGUUUAACCCCAACACAUUCUUUAUUUGCCUGUCCCAAGUCAGGAGCCUGUAGUUCAGUGGUUGUCGUUUGUUUAUGUGUUACAUUAUUAACACCACCACACUCUUUAUAUGCCUGUCCCAAGUCAGGAGCCUGUAGUUCAGUGGUUGUCGUUUGUUUAUGUGUUACAUUAUUAACCCCGCCACACUCUUUA
Molecule: long non-coding RNA, 263 nt
Filed under: Mytilus galloprovincialis (Mediterranean mussel)
Lineage: Eukaryota; Metazoa; Mollusca; Bivalvia; Mytilida; Mytilidae
Source: RNAcentral